Molecule: ribosomal RNA, 253 nt
Filed under: uncultured bacterium
Lineage: Bacteria
Description: partial 16S ribosomal RNA
Rfam family: Bacterial small subunit ribosomal RNA
Source: RNAcentral
UACGUAGGGGGCAAGCGUUGUCCGGAUUUAUUGGGCGUAAAGAGCGUGUAGGCGGCCUGACAGGUCUGCUGUGAAAACUCGAGGCUCAACCUCGAGAUGUCGGCGGAAACCGUCUGGCUAGAGUCCGGAAGAGGAGAGUGGAAUUCCUGGUGUAGCGGUGAAAUGCGCAGAUAUCAGGAAGAACACCCGUGGCGAAAGCGGCUCUCUGGAACGGUACUGACGCUGAGACGCGAAAGCGUGGGGAGCGAACAGG